UAUUAUUUGAGCACUAGAGGGCGCGCGUGCUUCUUUCUGUCUAAUUGUGGUCACGUGGGUUGAAGCGGCAACGACGCGUGUGCUGUGAAUGGCUUUUAUUGCCUAAUCAGGGAAAAUUGCCAAAUCUGUCUACCUGUUUCCUCUAAGUCCUGACUGCUUCAGAGCUCUGAGAACGGCCAAACAACAAAACAUCUGGAUGAAGAGGAAGACGGUCACCUGGAUUGUGAAAAGCCAUACAUAUACAGCCAGGGCAUCAAGAAAUAUGACAAACAUGUAGGCCAAACAUGAUCCAAGACUGAUGAUCCAGACGACAGUGCAGCAGAUGACUUUAUAUCUGAGAGGUUUAAACUUCAGAAAGGUUACAGGAUGAACCACUGCCAGGUAACGCUCAACACAAAUCAGACACUCAAACAAAGGACGACCAGUGAUAAGUAGCCCUAGUAAAAAACUGACAAUUCCAUCGACACUUAAAAACCACAUGGCCAAGAUGUCUAAGAAACAUUUCAGGCAGAUAAAAAUCUCACAAACAGAGAAAUUGAGGGUAAAAAAUUCUAAUGUCAUUCCACUUUCAGUUCCUGUAACGAUGAGCCAAAUAACACAGAUGUGUGUUGGAAGACCAACCAAGACAUUGAUGCUUAAUAAACAAAUGUACAGAGAGUCCAUCAAACCAAAAAAAGGAGAUGUAGAGUCUGUGAAUAAUUCAGUUGUGUUGAGGUUCGGUGUUGAGUUAUUCAUGUCCACUUUGUCGUCAUUAACUGUGUGAUCUAUUGAAAGAGUAAAUGGAUUAGGUAAUACAGACUGCAUAAAAAGUAAUAUAUUGUGUUUUUAAGCACACAUACAAAGUUUUAGUUUUAGGUUUUAAGUCCUACCUUAUAUGACAAUGGCAAUCAAACAGACAUUUUCAGAUAUAAUUAAACAAACAAAUGAAAGAAGAGUUUGUUACCUGAAGAGUGAAUCUGCAGUCUCUAUGCAUGUAAAUACUGUAAAUCCCUGUGUUGUACUGUACAUGAACAUGCUCUCAUAUCUGUUAAUCUAUAUAUUGCACAUUUAGUCAAAACACAUGCAAAUGGUUAAUUCCUUAACUACAGCAACAGUAUUAAAUGACAUCAAUAUAUCAUAUCAACUUUGCUUAUAUUUAAAACAGAGCUCAAAAACAAAUCCUUGGGUCAGUUCGUUGAAAUAUUUUAAGACUGCCGCCAGUCAAGUUAGCGUUGUAAAUUUAAACAUGCAGCUAUUUUUGGAAGCAACUGUUUAGCAAACUUUAAAGAUACACAAAAGGUCCUUAAGGCAGUGGUUCUCAAACUUUUUCUGCGUGCGGCCCCCCUUGUGUACGGCGCAGUUUUUCGCGGCACCCCCAAAGAAAAUUUAUGACAAGAGUUUUAAAACUCAACUUUUGAUUAAACAAAACAUAUUAAAUGAUACGAAGUAGUGCUGUUGGUUAGUAGUCUUAUUUUUUUUAGGUUUAAUUGCACAGAAUUCAUUAUAAAUUAAUUUAUUUUAUAAAAUGUCAUAAAACUGGGGCCCCCCUGGCACCAUCUCGCGGCCCCCCUGGGGGCCCCGGCGCCCAGUUUGAGAACCACUGCCUUAAGUAAGGAAUAAUUGACGACGGGCCAUUGAAUUAUAAGAAAAUAAUGCACACCAAGGUGGUAAUGCGGCACGACGUGAAGCGGAGUGCCGUUACACCGCAGGUGUGCAUUAUUUUCAAAUAAUUCAAAGGACCGGAGUCAAUUAUUCCGCUUAUACCACGGUUACCACAAACAUUGCUCUGGUGCCUAUUUUUAAGACAUUUGAAAAGAUAGGUGUGCGGUUUACAGAAAAAUAAUCAACACCCAUAGAACAUUUCUCAGCCAAUCAGAAUGCAGCAUUCAACAGACCCGUGGUAUAAGGUACAGUAAUGUACCCAAAAACAUUGUAUUAUUAUUAUACAGCGACAGAAAACAUACAGUUUUUUUUAAAGGGCUGAUAUAAAUCUCUACAAAACUCCUCUUCUAUACUCUUAUAUCAAAGCUGUCUCCUAGAUGUGUGCACAUCACACUGUAUGUGAUACAUUACAAAACAACAAUUAUUCAAAUGUCUUAAGUAGAAAAGAUUCAAAAACAUUAGGUCUUUAUUCAAAUAGUUUAAAAUAUUUAAAUAAAACACACAGCUUACUCUUAUAUGGAAAAUUGUAAUCGGAUAGCAGAAUGCAAAGCAAAGUGGAACUAUGGUUAGAGAUUCAGACUUGUAUAUCAGGUUUCUGCUAACAAACUGGUAUUUCUGAAUGGCCUGAGGCUGGAAUUGUAGUCUAGAAAUAUAGUCUGUGUUAUAUGACAGAAAUAAAAUUGUUUCAUAAAGUGUCACUGUUAAGAAUUUCUUUAAUAAGCAUGAAGCAAAGCAGCAUAUGCAAAUCAUUAGUCAUUAAUGUCAAGCAACAUGUAGUUUAAUUUAUUUAACAACUUAUUUUCCAAAAAUGUACAGUUAAGUGACAAUUCACAAUUUUUACAGCAAAGUAAACUAAACACAUCUUGUGUUGCCCACAACCCCCUUAUUAUUACACAUUAUUGGCUGGAGCUACACCCCCAUUCAGCACAUGGUUUCAGCAGUAACAACGUAAACAAGCGGCUUUCGUGGUCAACACGUAACUUCCGGUAAACUCCGCUAAGAAUAAAUAACAACAAAGUCCUUUUAGCGUAGUUGAUUUAUAUAACAAGCAAAAUAAACAACACGUAGAUUUGCUAGGAAAUCAAAACAUUUGUUAUUUUCGACGAUCCAAUGCAUCUUGGAAAUCGUAGUCAGUUUACAUCUACACCUAAUUUUUGAACGUGGAAGUAAGUGAUGUGGCGUAUUUUCCUUUUUUGUGCGAGACAUCCAUUUUAAAAGCCAGACGGUAGAAAACAGGGUUGUGGGAGCACGCAUAAAACAUGAUUUAGACAGUUAAGGUAAAUAUUUACUACACCUGCCCAAUGUAUGAACCAGUGUGAGGAUGAAAUUAAAGGUGGGGUGCAUGAUC
Misgurnus anguillicaudatus (oriental weatherfish) is the source of this 2989-nucleotide long non-coding RNA. RefSeq lists it as uncharacterized. Lineage: Eukaryota; Metazoa; Chordata; Actinopteri; Cypriniformes; Cobitidae. The record is from RefSeq and is a predicted model, not a curated record.